UCUGGAGACAGGUGCUGCAUGGCUGUCGUCAGCUCGUGUCGGUGAGAUGUUGGGUUAAGUCCCGCAACGAGCGCAACCCUUGCCUUUAGUUGCCAGCAGUUCGGCUGGGCACUCUAAAGGGACUGCCGGUGUUAAACCGGAGGAAGGUGGGGAUGACGUCAAGUCCUCAUGGCCUUUAUGGCCAGGGCUACACACGUACUACAAUGGCCGAUACAAAGGGCAGCGACACUGCGAGGUGAAGCCAAUCCCGUAAAAUCGGUCUCAGUCCGGAUUGGAGUCUGCAACUCGACUCCAUGAAGUUGGAAUCGCUAGUAAUCGUGGAUCAGCAUGCCACGGUGAAUACGUUCCCGGGCCUU
Molecule: ribosomal RNA, 356 nt
Filed under: uncultured Desulfobulbus sp.
Lineage: Bacteria; Pseudomonadati; Thermodesulfobacteriota; Desulfobulbia; Desulfobulbales; Desulfobulbaceae
Description: bacterial SSU rRNA
Rfam family: Bacterial small subunit ribosomal RNA
Source: RNAcentral